RNAcentral lists this ribosomal RNA (411 nucleotides) under uncultured eukaryote. RNAcentral's name for it is "SSU rRNA". It matches the Rfam family "Eukaryotic small subunit ribosomal RNA", at positions 567 to 990 of the family's 1831-position model. The record is from RNAcentral.
CCAGCAGCUGCGGUAAUUCCAGCUCCAAUAGCGUAUAUUAAAGUUGUUGCAGUUAAAAAGCUCGUAGUUGGAUUUCUGGUAGGAUGACUGUGCCCUCAGUAGAGCGUGCGCAGGCGUCUUGCCAUCCUUCUGUUAACCUUUGAGAGCUUCAUCGCUCUCUUUGGGGCUCAGAUAUUUUACCUUGAGAAAAUUAGAGUGUUUCAGGCAGGCUAGCGUCGGAAUACAUUAGCAUGGAAUAAUGGAAUAGGACUUGAACCUCUUCUGUUGGUCUAAGGGGUGCAAGUAAUGAUUAAUAGGGAUAGUUGGGGGCAUUAGUACUUAACUGUCAGAGGUGAAAUUCUCGGAUUUGUUAAAGACUAACCUAUGCGAAAGCAUUUGCCAAGGAUGUUUUCAUUAAUCAAGAACGAAAGU